This 253-nucleotide ribosomal RNA is filed under the name uncultured bacterium. RNAcentral's name for it is "partial 16S ribosomal RNA". It matches the Rfam family "Bacterial small subunit ribosomal RNA", at positions 524 to 776 of the family's 1533-position model. The record is from RNAcentral.
GACAGAGGUGCCAAGCGUUAGGCGGAAUCACUGGGCUUAAAGCGUGUGUAGGCGGAUCGUUAAGUACCUUGUGAAAUCCCACGGCUCAACCGCGGAAGUGCCUCUGAUACUGGCGGCCUCGAGGGAGGUAGGGGCGUGCGGAACUUCCGGUGGAGCGGUGAAAUGCGUAGAUAUCGGAAGGAACACCGGUGGCGAAAGCGGCGCGCUGGACCUCUUCUGACGCUGAGGCGCGAAAGCCAGGGGAGCGAACGGG